Molecule: ribosomal RNA, 500 nt
Filed under: uncultured bacterium
Lineage: Bacteria
Description: partial 16S ribosomal RNA
Rfam family: Bacterial small subunit ribosomal RNA
Source: RNAcentral
AUUGAACGCUGGCGGCAUGCCUUACACAUGCAAGUCGAACGGCAGCACGGGGGCAACCCUGGUGGCGAGUGGCGAACGGGUGAGUAAUGCAUCGGAACGUACCCGGAAGUGGGGGAUAACGUAGCGAAAGUUACGCUAAUACCGCAUGUUCUGUGAGCAGGAAAGCAGGGGAUCGCAAGACCUUGCGCUUUCGGAGCGGCCGCUGUCGGAUUAGCUAGUUGGUGGGGUAAAGGCUUACCAAGGCGACGAUCCGUAGCUGGUCUUAGAGGAUGAUCAGCCACACUGGGACUGAGACACGGCCCAGACUCCUACGGGAGGCAGCAGUGGGGAAUUUUGGACAAUGGGGGCAACCCUGAUCCAGCCAUGCCGCGUGAGUGAAGAAGGCCUUCGGGUUGUAAAGCUCUUUCGGACGGAAAGAAAUCGCCAUCUCUAACAUAGGUGGUGGAUGACGGUACCGUCAUAAGAAGCACCGGCUAACUACGUGCCAGCCGCCGCGGUAA